RNAcentral lists this ribosomal RNA (217 nucleotides) under Lactobacillus delbrueckii subsp. bulgaricus. Its description in RNAcentral is "partial 16S ribosomal RNA". It matches the Rfam family "Bacterial small subunit ribosomal RNA", at positions 1 to 195 of the family's 1533-position model. RNAcentral also lists the same sequence under 1 other name. The record is from RNAcentral. Lineage: Bacteria; Bacillati; Bacillota; Bacilli; Lactobacillales; Lactobacillaceae.
UUAAUUUGAGAGUUUGAUCCUGGCUCAGGACGAACGCUGGCGGCGUGCCUAAUACAUGCAAGUCGAACGAACUCUGGUAUUGAUUGGUGCUUGCAUCAUGAUUUACAUUUGAGUGAGUGGCGAACUGGUGAGUAACACGUGGGAAACCUGCCCAGAAGCGGGGGAUAACACCUGGAAACAGAUGCUAAUACCGCAUAACAACUUGGACCGCAUGGUC